This 253-nucleotide ribosomal RNA is filed under the name uncultured bacterium. RNAcentral describes it as "partial 16S ribosomal RNA". It matches the Rfam family "Bacterial small subunit ribosomal RNA", at positions 524 to 776 of the family's 1533-position model. The record is from RNAcentral.
UACGGCGGGGGCUACCGUUAUUCGGAAUUACUGGGCGUAAAGCGCGCGUAGGCGGACUUUUAAGUCAGGGGUGAAAUCCCGGGGCUCAACCCCGGAACUGCCUUUGAUACUGGGAGUCUGGAGUUCGGGAGAGGUGAGCGGAAUACCGAGUGUAGAGGUGAAAUUCGCAGAUAUUCGGUGGAACACCAGUGGCGAAGGCGGCUCACUGGACCGGCACUGACGCUGAGGCGCGAAAGCGUGGGGAGCAAACAGG